This 301-nucleotide ribosomal RNA is filed under the name uncultured bacterium. RNAcentral describes it as "partial 16S ribosomal RNA". It matches the Rfam family "Bacterial small subunit ribosomal RNA", at positions 509 to 808 of the family's 1533-position model. The record is from RNAcentral.
CAGCCGCGCGGUAAUACAGAGGGUGCGAGCGUUAAUCGGAUUUACUGGGCGUAAAGCGUGCGUAGGCGGCUUCUUAAGUCGGAUGUGAAAUCCCUGAGCUUAACUUAGGAAUUGCAUUCGAUACUGGGAAGCUAGAGUAUGGGAGAGGAUGGUAGAAUUCCAGGUGUAGCGGUGAAAUGCGUAGAGAUCUGGAGGAAUACCGAUGGCGAAGGCAGCCAUCUGGCCUAAUACUGACGCUGAGGUACGAAAGCAUGGGGAGCAAACAGGAUUAGAUACCCCCGUAGUCCCUGUCUCUUAUACA